AAAAAACAAAACAAACACAUAAAAUAUUAGCGAAAGUCUCUCAUCUAAUGAGAAGCACAUAGAGCUGAUAAACAUAAAAAUCGAAACUUUAUUUAUCUUUGUUGUUCUCUUUGGGUCACAAUAGACCGGCCCAUUAGCCUAGUCACACCGGCCCAUUAGCCCAGUCAACUCCAUUGUAGAAGAGAGGACUUGAUUUUGGGUGAGAUUGAGAGAGAGAAGAAGAGAAUCGUCAAGUGUUUAUGGUGGUGAAAGUUAUAAGAAUCGUUAAAUUUGACGAAAGGGCACGAGACUAUGCACACCAGUUGCUCGACGAAUUGUCUAACUAAGAAGAUCAGUAUAAAGUUGAAGUUGAUCAAUUUGUGGAGCAUGGAUCCUGAAUAUACCGACGAUUUAUUAAACCAUUUGGAGAAGCAAACUGAAUUGCUUUUAGAAACUCGUAAAACGAUGACUCAAGAACUCCAAACACUUGAGGUGGAAGAAGAGAUGAUGAUGCGGAAAUUCUAUGAGUUAAUGUCUAGACAGCGCUUAAAUAAGAAGAAAAUGGAGAAGACUCAAAAUGUGUCACAUGGUAAAGAAAUAGUUGAAGUGGAAGAUACUUCUAGUACAUCCAGAGAGUUAAUCGUAUAUGUAAGGAAAAGGAAAAAGAAUCAAAAGCCAACAUAAUGAAGAUAUCCAUUUCUUGUUUAAGUGAUGGAUAUAGUUUUCACAUUGUUUAUGGUGUGCAAUAAUAAGUUGUAUUUUUUGAGUGAUGAAAAUUUAUACGGGUAUGUAGUCAUGAACCUUGUAAGAUGUUCUUGGGGUCAUAAGAGUUUUAUCUGAUCCUGCGAGACGAUAAUUUAAUAACAUUACAAGCAAAAUAUAUCCAUUGAAGUAAUCGUACUUUAAAGAUGCUAUGGAGAGAUUAU
Molecule: long non-coding RNA, 905 nt
Filed under: Arabidopsis thaliana (thale cress)
Lineage: Eukaryota; Viridiplantae; Streptophyta; Magnoliopsida; Brassicales; Brassicaceae
Description: [] (AT2G23040)
Source: RNAcentral